Molecule: ribosomal RNA, 239 nt
Filed under: Salmonella enterica
Lineage: Bacteria; Pseudomonadati; Pseudomonadota; Gammaproteobacteria; Enterobacterales; Enterobacteriaceae
Also listed under: 8 other names
Description: partial 16S ribosomal RNA
Rfam family: Bacterial small subunit ribosomal RNA
Source: RNAcentral
AAAUUGAAGAGUUUGAUCAUGGCUCAGAUUGAACGCUGGCGGCAGGCCUAACACAUGCAAGUCGAACGGUAACAGGAAGCAGCUUGCUGUUUCGCUGACGAGUGGCGGACGGGUGAGUAAUGUCUGGGAAACUGCCUGAUGGAGGGGGAUAACUACUGGAAACGGUGGCUAAUACCGCAUAACGUCGCAAGACCAAAGAGGGGGACCUUCGGGCCUCUUGCCAUCAGAUGUGCCCAGAU